GAUGAACGCUAGCUACAGGCUUAACACAUGCAAGUCGAGGGGCAGCAUGAACUUAGCUUGCUAAGUUUGAUGGCGACCGGCGCACGGGUGAGUAACACGUAUCCAACCUGCCGAUGACUCGGGGAUAGCCUUUCGAAAGAAAGAUUAAUACCCGAUGGCAUAGUUCUUCCGCAUGGUAGAACUAUUAAAGGAUUUCGGUCAUCGAUGGGGAUGCGUUCCAUUAGGUUGUUGGCGGGGUAACGGCCCACCAAGCCUUCGAUGGAUAGGGGUUCUGAGAGGAAGGUCCCCCACAUUGGAACUGAGACACGGUCCAAACUCCUACGGGAGGCAGCAGUGAGGAAUAUUGGUCAAUGGACGAGAGUCUGAACCAGCCAAGUAGCGUGAAGGAUGACUGCCCUAUGGGUUGUAAACUUCUUUUAUACGGGAAUAAAGUGAGGCACGUGUGCCUUUUUGUAUGUACCGUAUGAAUAAGG
RNAcentral lists this ribosomal RNA (473 nucleotides) under uncultured bacterium. Its description in RNAcentral is "bacterial SSU rRNA". It matches the Rfam family "Bacterial small subunit ribosomal RNA", at positions 28 to 491 of the family's 1533-position model. The record is from RNAcentral.